RNAcentral lists this transfer RNA (71 nucleotides) under Caldifarciminota bacterium. Its description in RNAcentral is "tRNA-Gln". It matches the Rfam family "tRNA". Rfam says of the family: Transfer RNA (tRNA) molecules are approximately 80 nucleotides in length. Their secondary structure includes four short double-helical elements and three loops (D, anti-codon, and T loops). RNAcentral also lists the same sequence under 2 other names. The record is from RNAcentral. Lineage: Bacteria; Pseudomonadati; Caldifarciminota.
UGGGGCGUCGUCUAAGGGUAGGACCCAGGCUUUUGGAGCCUGUUGUGGGGGUUCGAAUCCUCCCGCCCCAG